Molecule: ribosomal RNA, 403 nt
Filed under: uncultured bacterium
Lineage: Bacteria
Description: partial 16S ribosomal RNA
Rfam family: Bacterial small subunit ribosomal RNA
Source: RNAcentral
GACGAACGCUGGCGGCGUGCCUAAUACAUGCAAGUCGAACGCAGUUGGGACGGGUGAGUAACACGUGGGUAACCUCCCCUCAGAGGGGAUAACACUUGGAAACAGGUGCUAAACCGAUACUGAUGGAUGGACCCGUGGUGCAUUAGCUAGUUGGUGAGGUAACGGCGCACCAAGGCCACGAUGCAUAGCUGGCCUGAGAGGAUGAUCAGCCACACUGGGACUGAGACACGGCCCAGACUCCUACGGGAGGCAGCAGUAGGGAAUCUUCGGCAAUGGACGAAAGUCUGACCGAGCAACGCCGCGUGAGUGAAGAAGGUUUUCGGAUCGUAAAACUCUGUUGUUAGAGAAGCGUUAUCUAACCAGAAAGCAACGGCUAACUACGUGCCAGCAGCCGCGGUAAUUC